UAACCCUGGUUAAGGAACUCGGCAAAUUUACACCGUAACUUCGGGAGAAGGUGUGCCGCUGGCGGUUAGUGACUUCGCGUCACGAAGCUGUCGGUGGUCGCAGUGAAAUGGCGGUUGUGACUGUUUACUAAAAGCACAGGACUCUGCGAAGUCGUAAGACGACGUAUAGGGUCUGAUGCCUGCCCGGUGCUGGAAGGUUAAGGGGAUAUGUCAGCGCAAGCGAAGCAUUGAACCGAAGCCCCAGUAAACGGCGGCCGUAACAAUAACGGCCCUAAGGUAGCGAAAUUCCUUGUCGGGUAAGUUCCGACCUGCACGAGGGCAUAACAACAUCCGCACUGUCUCGACCAGGGACUCAGCGAAAUUACAUUGGGGGUGAAGAUGCCCUCUACCCGCGGAAAGACGGAAAGACCCCAUGAACCUUUACUGCAACUUGGCAGUGAUUUUCGGGUUGUUCUGCGUAGGAUAGGUGGGAGGCUUUGAAGUCGGGCUUCCGGGUUCGACUGAGCCAACGUUGAAAUACCACCCUGAAUAAUCUGGAAAUCUAACCUGCGCCCAUGAUCUGGGCGAGGGACACUGCCUGGUGGGCAGUUUGACUGGGGCGGUCGCCUCCUAAAUUGUAACGGAGGCGUGCGACGGUUCCCUCAGGCUGAUUGGAAACCAGCCGUAGAGUGCAAACGCAUAAGGGAGCUUUACUGCGAGACUGACAAGUCGAACAGUUGCGAAAGCAGGUGUUAGUGAUCCGGUGGUACCACAUGGUAGGGCCAUCGCUCAUCGGAUAAAAGGUACUCUGGGGAUAACAGGCUGAUCGCGCCUGAGAGUUCACAUCGGCGGCGCGGUUUGGCACCUCGAUGUCGGCUCAUCGCAUCCUGGGGCUGGAGCAGGUCCCAAGGGUUUGGCUGUUCGCCAAUUAAAGCGGUACGCGAGCUGGGUUUAAAACGUCGCGAGACAGUUUGGUCCCUAUCUUCCGUGGGCGCAGGACACUUGAGAGGAGCUAUCCAUAGUACGAGAGGACCUGGAUGGACGAACCUCUGGUGCUCCGGUUGUCACGCCAGUGGCAUAGCCGGGUAGCCAUGUUCGGAACAGAUAACCGCUGAAGGCAUAUAAGCGGGAAGCUGGCCUCAAGACUAGGUGUCCCUGACGCAAGUCACUAAAGGCCCCUCGAAGACUACGAGGUUGAUAGGCUCGGUGUGGAAGCGCUGCAAGGCGCGGAGCUAACGAGUACUAAUAGGCCGUGCGACUUGACCUC
Molecule: ribosomal RNA, 1246 nt
Filed under: metagenome
Description: bacterial LSU rRNA
Rfam family: Bacterial large subunit ribosomal RNA
Source: RNAcentral